GCCUACGGGGGGCAGCAGUGGGGAAUAUUGCACAAUGGGGGAAACCCUGAUGCAGCGACGCCGCGUGAGCGAAGAAGUAUUUCGGUAUGUAAAGCUCUAUCAGCAGGGAAGAAAAAAAUGACGGUACCUGAGUAAGAAGCACCGGCUAAAUACGUGCCAGCAGCCGCGGUAAUACGUACGGUGCAAGCGUUAUCCGGAUUUACUGGGUGUAAAGGGAGCGCAGGCGGCGCGUUAAGCCUGGUGUGAAAGCCCGCGGCCCAACCGCGGGACUGCAUAGGGAACUGG
This 285-nucleotide ribosomal RNA is filed under the name uncultured bacterium. RNAcentral describes it as "partial 16S ribosomal RNA". It matches the Rfam family "Bacterial small subunit ribosomal RNA", at positions 337 to 636 of the family's 1533-position model. The record is from RNAcentral.